RNAcentral lists this ribosomal RNA (1191 nucleotides) under Mileewa ponta. RNAcentral describes it as "16S ribosomal RNA". The stretch from base 949 to 1108 matches the Rfam family "Archaeal large subunit ribosomal RNA", at positions 2544 to 2703 of the family's 2987-position model. The record is from RNAcentral. Lineage: Eukaryota; Metazoa; Arthropoda; Insecta; Hemiptera; Cicadellidae.
UAAUUUUUUUUAAUAUAAUUUAUAUUUUAAUUAAAAAAUUUUAUUUUUUUUUAGUUUAAUAAUAAUUAAUUAUAAAUUUUUAUUACUGAUUAGGAUAAUUUUUAUUAUUAUAGAAUAAUUUUUAGUACCUUUUGUCUCAGGGUUAAUUUAUUAAUAUGUUUAUACUUUUUUCCCGAAUUGAAAAAAUUUAAAUUUAAUUUGGUUUAUUUGUUAUAAAACAUUUCUUAAUUUAUUUUUAGUAAUUAAAAGUUAUUCGUUUUUCAAAUAUAUCUGGUUUUUUGAGAAAAAAUUUAAUUUUAGAUUUAUUAAAAUUUAAUUCUUUCUUUUUUGGGGAUAAGCUCAAAUUAUAAAUAUAAUUAAUAUUAUUUUAUUUUUAAAAGUUUUAAAAUCUUUCAUUAAGUUCUUAAUAGAUUAUAAUAAUUAUUUUAAAUUUAAUUAAAUUUAUUUUUUUAUCAAAAUUUUUUAAAAAAUUUAUUUUUAUUAAAAAUAAUGAUUAAAUUAGUAUAAUUUAGAAUUAAUUAUUUAUGAAUUCAACAAAUUUUAUUUUCAACUGUUUAUCAAAAACAUUUCUUUUAGAUUAAAAUUAAAAGUAUUUUCUGCCCAAUGAUUAUAUUAAAUGGCUGCAGUAAUUUGACUGUACAAAGGUAGCAUAAUAAUUAGUCUUUUAAAUGUGGACUGGAAUGAAAGGAUAUAUGAAAUAUAUGUUUUAUUAUUUUUAUUAUUAAAAUUUUAUUUUUAAGUAAAAAAGCUUAAUUUUAUUUUUGGGACGAAAAGACCCUAUAGAAUUUAAAUAUUUUUAAAUUAUUAUAUUUUUUUGAAAAUAAUUUUUUAUAAUUUAAAUAUUUUUUUGUUGGGGGGAUAAAUAAAUUUAAACUUUAUUUUUUUAUUUCAAUAAUUAUUGAUAUUGUUGAUCCAUAUUUAGUGAUUUAAAGAAAAAAUUACCUUAGGGAUAACAGCGUAAUUAUAAUGGGGAGAUCAUAUUUAUAUUGUAGUUUGCGACCUCGAUGUUGAAUUAAGAAAAGUUAUAGGGGUAGUUUCUUUUAAUACUAAGUCUGUUCGACUUUUAAAUUCUUACAUGAUUUGAGUUCAGAUCGGUGUGAGCCAGAUCGGUUUCUAUCUAAAAAUAUAAAUUUUUAUUUUAGUACGAAAGGACCAAAUAAUACUAUAUAUUAUAGUAAAUUAUUUAAUUAG